CGCUCAGUUGGCCUAAUAGUUAGAGCAUCCGCCUCCAGUGCGGAGUUCGCAGGUUUGAAUCCCGGCUGAGUCA
This is a non-coding RNA of Potamilus streckersoni, 73 nucleotides long. Lineage: Eukaryota; Metazoa; Mollusca; Bivalvia; Unionida; Unionidae. The record is from the annotation of a GenBank genome assembly.